This 376-nucleotide unclassified non-coding RNA is filed under the name uncultured Acidimicrobiia bacterium. RNAcentral describes it as "contains 16S-23S intergenic spacer region". The record is from RNAcentral. Lineage: Bacteria; Bacillati; Actinomycetota; Acidimicrobiia.
UCCGAGUUGACCCCGGCAGUCUCCUGCGAGUCCCCGCCAUUACGCGCUGGCAACACAGGACAAGGGUUGCGCUCGUUGCGGGACUUAACCCAACAUCUCGCGACACGAGCUGACGACAACCAUGCACCACCUGUGUAGGGCCCCGAAGGACACCGUAUCUCUACGGCUUUUCCCUACAUGUCAAACCCAGGUAUGGUUCUUCGCGUUGCCUCGAAUUAAGCAACAUGCUCCGCCGCUUGUGCGGGCCCCCGUCAAUUCCUUUGAGUUUUAACCUUGCGGCCGUAAUCCCCAGUCGGGGAACUUAAUGCGUUAGCUGCGGCACGGGAGGGGUCAAUACCCCCCACACCUAGUUCCCAUCGUUUACGGCGUGGACUAC